AGUGAACGCUGGCGGUAGGCCUAACACAUGCAAGUCGAACGGCAGCACAGUAAGAGCUUGCUCUUACGGGUGGCGAGUGGCGGACGGGUGAGGAAUACAUCGGAAUCUACUUUUUCGUGGGGGAUAACGUAGGGAAACUUACGCUAAUACCGCAUACGACCUACGGGUGAAAGCAGGGGAUCUUCGGACCUUGCGCGAUUGAAUGAGCCGAUGUCGGAUUAGCUAGUUGGCGGGGUAAAGGCCCACCAAGGCGACGAUCCGUAGCUGGUCUGAGAGGAUGAUCAGCCACACUGGAACUGAGACACGGUCCAGACUCCUACGGGAGGCAGCAGUGGGGAAUAUUGGAAAAUGGGCGCAAGCCUGAUCCAGCCAUACCGCGGGGGUGAAGAAGGCCUUCGGGUUGUAAAGCCCUUUUGUUGGGAAAGAAAAGCAGCAGGUUAAUACCCCGCUGUUCUGACGGUACCAAAAGAAUAAGCACCGGCUAACUUCGU
This 491-nucleotide ribosomal RNA is filed under the name uncultured bacterium. RNAcentral describes it as "partial 16S ribosomal RNA". It matches the Rfam family "Bacterial small subunit ribosomal RNA", at positions 29 to 506 of the family's 1533-position model. The record is from RNAcentral.